Molecule: long non-coding RNA, 701 nt
Filed under: Gossypium barbadense (sea-island cotton)
Lineage: Eukaryota; Viridiplantae; Streptophyta; Magnoliopsida; Malvales; Malvaceae
Description: long non-coding RNA (GBAR_LNC009489)
Source: RNAcentral
UGCAUUUAGACGAGCUUGAGUUUCAGGUGGUAGGGAGUCCCAUUCAGGCUUCCAUGCACACACUGUAGAAGGACCAUAGGUUUCGGAGAGACCGUAAGUGUGGGUGACUCGGAAACCUUUCUGGGACAUUCCAGCAAGGACAGAAGGAGGUGGGGCUGCACCAGCUGUCAUUACACGAACAACAUGGGGGAGGGGCAGAAUGGUUUCCUCAGGCGGGGCAUUAACUAUGGAAUUGAGAACCACAGGUGCAGCACAGAAGUGAGUCACCCUGUACUUCGCGAUGGCCGAGUAUACGCCCUUCGCUGUUACCUGCAGAUACGAAAGAAACAAAUAGGGGCAUCAGUAAGCUUAAGCUAUGAUCAUAGAUAAAGCGCACAACUUUCGCAUCCACAUUGUUUAUAAUGGACUAAAGACUUCUCAAAGUCUGAAUCUCUGAACUGAAAUUAUGACAUACAUAAAAAUAGAACAAUGAAUCCAACACUUUAGAAUUUCUACAAAAUCACACCAAGAAACAAUAAGCUAUUAUUUAGACAAGAAAUUACCUGUCGGAGGCAUAUGUUAGUUCCACAAACAGCUGCAAGUGUCCAAGGAAAACACCAACCAUUACAAUGGAACAUGGGCAGAGUCCAUAAAUAUACAGCUCCUUCAUUCAUUUCCCAUAUAAUAGGAUUACUCAAAGCCAUUAGAUAUGCCCCUCGGUG